GUGCUUGCUUUGACAGCACAUAUAUCUAAAAUUGGAACGAUACAGAGAAGAUUAGCAUGGCGUCUGCUCAAGGAUGACACGCAAAUUCGUGAAGCAUUCCAUAUUAAA
Molecule: small nuclear RNA, 108 nt
Filed under: Castor canadensis (American beaver)
Lineage: Eukaryota; Metazoa; Chordata; Mammalia; Rodentia; Castoridae
Source: RNAcentral